AGGUCCGUAGUUCAAUUGGUAGAGCAUCGCACUCCAAAUGCGAAAGUUGAGGGUUCGAGUCCUUCCGGGCCUGCCA
This 76-nucleotide transfer RNA is filed under the name Synergistaceae bacterium. RNAcentral describes it as "tRNA-Trp". It matches the Rfam family "tRNA". From Rfam's summary of the family: Transfer RNA (tRNA) molecules are approximately 80 nucleotides in length. Their secondary structure includes four short double-helical elements and three loops (D, anti-codon, and T loops). RNAcentral also lists the same sequence under 1 other name. Lineage: Bacteria; Thermotogati; Synergistota; Synergistia; Synergistales; Synergistaceae. The record is from RNAcentral.